RNAcentral lists this microRNA precursor (167 nucleotides) under Pelobates cultripes (western spadefoot toad). Lineage: Eukaryota; Metazoa; Chordata; Amphibia; Anura; Pelobatidae. The record is from RNAcentral.
GGUCAGCUGACACAUCCCUGCCAAUCUCUGGCAGACCCUCCCUCCCAGACCCUCCCACCUCCUGGACAGCAUCCAUGUUGAAGCUGCCUUCAACCUGGAUGCUGUCCAGGAAGUAGGAGGGUCUGGGAGGGAGGGUCUGCCGGAGAUUGGCAGGGAUGUGUCAGCUG